RNAcentral lists this ribosomal RNA (408 nucleotides) under uncultured bacterium. Its description in RNAcentral is "partial 16S ribosomal RNA". It matches the Rfam family "Bacterial small subunit ribosomal RNA", at positions 28 to 526 of the family's 1533-position model. The record is from RNAcentral.
GACGAACGCUGGCGGCGUGCUUAACACAUGCAAGUCGAACGGAGUGGCGAACGGGUGAGUAACACGUGGGUGACCUGCCCUGCACUUCGGGAUAAGCCUGGGAAACUGGGUCUAAUACCGGAUAGUGUGGGAUGGGCCCGCGGCCUAUCAGCUUGUUGUUGGGGUAAUGGCCUACCAAGGCGGCGCCGGGUAGCCGGCCUGAGAGGGUGGACGGCCACAUUGGGACUGAGCCACGGCCCAGACUCCUACGGGAGGCAGCAGUGGGGAAUAUGACACACUGGGCGGGAGCCUGACGCAGCGACGCCGCGUGGGGGAUGACGGCCUUCGGGUUGUAAACUCCUUUCACCAUCGACGCGGUAGAUGGAGAAGAAGCACCGGCUAACUACGUGCCAGCAGCCGCGGUAAUUC